RNAcentral lists this ribosomal RNA (468 nucleotides) under uncultured bacterium. RNAcentral describes it as "partial 16S ribosomal RNA". It matches the Rfam family "Bacterial small subunit ribosomal RNA", at positions 28 to 507 of the family's 1533-position model. The record is from RNAcentral.
GACGAACGCUGGCGGCGUGCUUAACACAUGCAAGUCGAACGGAAAGGCCCUGCUUUUGUGGGGUGCUCGAGUGGCGAACGGGUGAGUAACACGUGAGUAACCUGCCCUUGACUUUGGGAUAACUUCAGGAAACUGGGGCUAAUACCGGAUAGGAGCUCAUGCUGCAUGGUGGGGGUUGGAAAGCUUCGGCGGUUGGGGAUGGACUUGCGGCUUAUCUGCUUGUUGGUGGGGUAGUGGCUUACCAAGGCCUUGACGGGUAGCCGGCCUGAGAGGGUGACCGGCCACAUUGGGACUGAGAGACGGCCCAGACUCCUACGGGAGGCAGCAGUGGGGAGUAUUGCACAAUGGGCGGGAGCCUGAUGCGGCGACGCCGCGUUCGGGAUGACGGCCUUCGGGUUGUAAACCGCUUUCGCCUGUGACGAAGCGUGAGUGACGGUAAUGAGUAAGGAAGCACCGGCUAACUACGUG